UACGGAGGGGGCUAGCGUUGUUCGGAAUUACUGGGCGUAAAGCGCACGUAGGCGGCUCUGUAAGUUAGAGGUGAAAGCCCGGGGCUCAACUCCGGAAUUGCCUUUUAAGACUGCAUCGCUAGAAUUGUGGAGAGGUAAGUGGAAUUCCGAGUGUAGAGGUGAAAUUCGUAGAUAUUCGGAAGAACACCAGUGGCGAAGGCGACUUACUGGACACAUAUUGACGCUGAGGUGCGAAAGCGUGGGGAGCAAACAGG
This 254-nucleotide ribosomal RNA is filed under the name uncultured bacterium. Its description in RNAcentral is "partial 16S ribosomal RNA". It matches the Rfam family "Bacterial small subunit ribosomal RNA", at positions 524 to 776 of the family's 1533-position model. The record is from RNAcentral.